RNAcentral lists this small nucleolar RNA (142 nucleotides) under Mus musculus (house mouse). RNAcentral's name for it is "Small nucleolar RNA SNORA48". It matches the Rfam family "Small nucleolar RNA SNORA48". Rfam says of the family: The snoRNA ACA 48 has been identified to guide pseudouridylation of the residue U3797 in the 28S rRNA subunit. The record is from Rfam by way of RNAcentral. Lineage: Eukaryota; Metazoa; Chordata; Mammalia; Rodentia; Muridae.
CCCCUCCAUAUUGGGCAGAAAGACACCUUGUUGGUGGCGGUGUUCUUAUAUCAGUCAGGGGCAGAGCAGAUGGCAGUCCUUUGUUCAUCCUAGCUUGAUGCUUGACUUGGUGGCCAAAGGUGUUUUAUGCCUGGACACAUAA